RNAcentral lists this ribosomal RNA (866 nucleotides) under uncultured bacterium. RNAcentral describes it as "bacterial SSU rRNA". It matches the Rfam family "Bacterial small subunit ribosomal RNA", at positions 57 to 918 of the family's 1533-position model. The record is from RNAcentral.
GCAAGUCGAGGGGCAGCACGGUGUAGCAAUACACGGGUGGCGACCGGCGCACGGGUGAGUAACGCGUAUGCAACCUGCCUACUACAAGGGGAUAACCCGUUGAAAGACGGACUAAUACCCUAUAACACAGGGAAUCCGCAUGGAUAUAUUUGUUAAAGAUUAAUCGGUAGUAGAUGGGCAUGCGUUCCAUUAGCUUGUUGGUGAGGUAACGGCUCACCAAGGCAACGAUGGAUAGGGGAACUGAGAGGUUGAUCCCCCACACUGGAACUGAGACACGGUCCAGACUCCUACGGGAGGCAGCAGUGAGGAAUAUUGGUCAAUGGACGAGAGUCUGAACCAGCCAAGUCGCGUGAAGGAAGACGGCCCUACGGGUUGUAAACUUCUUUUGUAAGGGAAUAAAGAGUCUUACGAGCUAAGACGUUGCAGGUACCUUACGAAUAAGGAUCGGCUAACUCCGUGCCAGCAGCCGCGGUAAUACGGAGGAUCCGAGCGUUAUCCGGAUUUAUUGGGUUUAAAGGGUGCGCAGGCGGCAUGUUAAGUCGGCGCUGAAAUUUUGCAGCUCAACUGUAAAAGAGCCUUCGAAACUGGCAAGCUUGAGUGUGGAUGAAGUAGGCGGAAUUUGUGGUGUAGCGGUGAAAUGCAUAGAUAUCACAAAGAACACCGAUUGCGCAGGCAGCUUACUAAACCAUAACUGACGCUCAUGCACGAAGGCGUGGGGAUCAAACAGGAUUAGAUACCCUGAUAGUCCACGCAGUAAACGAUGAUUACUGGCUGUUUGCGAUACAAUGUAAGCGGCUGGGCGAAAGCGUUAAGUAAUCCACCUGGGGAGUACGUUCGCAAGAAUGCAACUCAAUGAAUUGACGGAA